Molecule: transfer RNA, 84 nt
Filed under: Felis catus (domestic cat)
Lineage: Eukaryota; Metazoa; Chordata; Mammalia; Carnivora; Felidae
Rfam family: tRNA
About the family: Transfer RNA (tRNA) molecules are approximately 80 nucleotides in length. Their secondary structure includes four short double-helical elements and three loops (D, anti-codon, and T loops). Further hydrogen bonds mediate the characteristic L-shaped molecular structure. tRNAs have two regions of fundamental functional importance: the anti-codon, which is responsible for specific mRNA codon recognition, and the 3' end, to which the tRNAs corresponding amino acid is attached (by aminoacyl-tRNA synthetases). tRNAs cope with the degeneracy of the genetic code in two manners: having more than one tRNA (with a specific anti-codon) for a particular amino acid; and 'wobble' base-pairing, i.e. permitting non-standard base-pairing at the 3rd anti-codon position.
Source: Rfam by way of RNAcentral
ACCAGGAUGGCUCAGUCGUUAAGCAUCUGACUUCAGCUCAGGUCAUGAUUUCAUGGUUCGUGAGUUCGAGUCCCACAUCUGGUG